RNAcentral lists this ribosomal RNA (465 nucleotides) under Vreelandella stevensii. RNAcentral's name for it is "partial 16S ribosomal RNA". It matches the Rfam family "Bacterial small subunit ribosomal RNA", at positions 338 to 795 of the family's 1533-position model. Lineage: Bacteria; Pseudomonadati; Pseudomonadota; Gammaproteobacteria; Oceanospirillales; Halomonadaceae. The record is from RNAcentral.
CCUACGGGAGGCAGCAGUGGGGAAUAUUGGACAAUGGGCGAAAGCCUGAUCCAGCCAUGCCGCGUGUGUGAAGAAGGCCUUCGGGUUGUAAAGCACUUUCAGUGGGGAAGAAAGCCUUGGGGCUAAUACCCUCGAGGAAGGACAUCACCCACAGAAGAAGCACCGGCUAACUCCGUGCCAGCAGCCGCGGUAAUACGGAGGGUGCGAGUGUUAAUCGGAAUUACUGGGCGUAAAGCGCGCGUAGGCGGUCUGAUAAGCCGGUUGUGAAAGCCCCGGGCUCAACCUGGGAACGGCAUCCGGAACUGUCAGGCUAGAGUGCAGGAGAGGAAGGUAGAAUUCCCGGUGUAGCGGUGAAAUGCGUAGAGAUCGGGAGGAAUACCAGUGGCGAAGGCGGCCUUCUGGACUGACACUGACGCUGAGGUGCGAAAGCGUGGGUAGCAAACAGGAUUAGAUACCCCAGUAGUC